Molecule: ribosomal RNA, 460 nt
Filed under: uncultured bacterium
Lineage: Bacteria
Description: partial 16S ribosomal RNA
Rfam family: Bacterial small subunit ribosomal RNA
Source: RNAcentral
CCUACGGGUGGCAGCAGUGAGGAAUAUUGGUCAAUGGGCUUACGCCUGAACCAGCCAAGUCGCGUGAGGGAAGACUGCCCUAUGGGUUGUAAACCUCUUUUGUCAGGGAGCAAUUGGCGCUACGUGUAGCGUUAUCGAUAGUACCUGCAGACAAAGCAUCGGCUAACUCCGUGCCAGCAGCCGCGGUAAUCCGGAGGAUUCGAGCGUUAUCCGGCUUUAUUGGGUUUAAAGGGUGCGUAGGCGGAAUGCCAAGUCAGCGGUAAAAUCGCGGGGCUCAACCUCGAUCCGCCGUUGAAACUGGUGGUCUUGAGUGGGGGAGAAGUAGGCGGAAUGCGUGGUGUAGCGGUGAAAUGCAUAGAGAUCACGAAGAACUCCGAUUGCGAAGGCAGCAUACCGGAGCACAACUGACGCUGAAGCACGAAAGCGUGGGUAGCGAACAGGAUUAGAUACCCCUGUAGUC